GCCUCAGCUCAGUGGUCAGAACACCUGCUUUGCAUGCAGAAGGUCUGAGGUUCAAGCCCUGCCAUCUACA
Molecule: non-coding RNA, 70 nt
Organism: Podarcis lilfordi (Lilford's wall lizard)
Lineage: Eukaryota; Metazoa; Chordata; Lepidosauria; Squamata; Lacertidae
Source: the annotation of a GenBank genome assembly